This 465-nucleotide ribosomal RNA is filed under the name uncultured Klebsiella sp. RNAcentral describes it as "bacterial SSU rRNA". It matches the Rfam family "Bacterial small subunit ribosomal RNA", at positions 338 to 795 of the family's 1533-position model. The record is from RNAcentral. Lineage: Bacteria; Pseudomonadati; Pseudomonadota; Gammaproteobacteria; Enterobacterales; Enterobacteriaceae.
CCUACGGGGGGCUGCAGUGGGGAAUAUUGCACAAUGGGCGCAAGCCUGAUGCAGCCAUGCCGCGUGUGUGAAGAAGGCCUUCGGGUUGUAAAGCACUUUCAGCGGGGAGGAAGGCGUUAAGGUUAAUAACCUUGGCGAUUGACGUUACCCGCAGAAGAAGCACCGGCUAACUCCGUGCCAGCAGCCGCGGUAAUACGGAGGGUGCAAGCGUUAAUCGGAAUUACUGGGCGUAAAGCGCACGCAGGCGGUCUGUCAAGUCGGAUGUGAAAGCCCCGGGCUCAACCUGGGAACUGCAUUCGAAACUGGCAGGCUAGAGUCUUGUAGAGGGGGGUAGAAUUCCAGGUGUAGCGGUGAAAUGCGUAGAGAGCUGGAGGAAUACCGGUGGCGAAGGCGGCCCCCUGGACAAAGACUGACGCUCAGGUGCGAAAGCGUGGGGAGCAAACAGGAUUAGAUACCCUAGUAGUC